This is a long non-coding RNA of Mus spicilegus (steppe mouse), 1667 nucleotides long. The record is from Ensembl. Lineage: Eukaryota; Metazoa; Chordata; Mammalia; Rodentia; Muridae.
GUUUCCUAAUUGCCUCAUUGCCUCAGUUUUUCUGUGUUCUUGAAGAUUCGCUCCAGUGGUUCCAUAGAACACUUCCUUUUCCCUGCCAGUUUGUGAUUGUCCGCAUCAGCUUGCAGCAUAGCAGCUGCCUCGGAUCCAACUAUCACACCCCCAUCCUUCCUAGUACAUGUUAGCAGCCCAGCAGAGCGUGACUGACUAUACACCAUGGCUCCAAGUCCCUGAGAUUACUCCCCUCAGAGAGCUGAGGGAUGAAAACUGAAGUUAGGACAAAGUUCAUUGCUGUAAAUACCCAAUUCACUAUCAAAGUAUGGGGCCCCAACACCUGACAUGUGUUUGAACAGCAGAGAUAGCAUGCCUUUUUAUUUACAGUUAUAUCCCAUGCCUCAGAGAUGGGGAGAUAGCCUGUGCUUCCCAGCACUGGCAACAGGCAUGCCGGGAAGAAGAGGGUUUGACUCUUGAUGGGAAGGAGGUGGAAUUCAGCCAAGGCAGCCAGCAUAGCAUGAGGAACAGACUGAAAUCAACACAGGAAGUGGGCCACACUGACAAAGACCAAGACACAUAUCUGGUUUGGGCUUGGACUGAGGUCAGGACAUCUGUGUUGAGAUUAUUAAAAAGAGUCAUCAAUUUAGUUAGUACAAUUUAACCCUUCAUUCUCUUUGAUUAAUUGACCUCUCUUCUAUUUCAGUCAUGAGGAUCACACCAAUGGCCUUUCAUAUGUAUAACAAGUCAUCUAUGACUGACUUAAAUCCACGGCUGAAUUCUUAGGACUGGGCAGAACAGUCUAAGGUGAUAGCCAUAUUUUCACAAGAGCUCAGGAAAUGAACCUCACUCUGUGGAACUGAAAGCUGGUGGCUGAACUGAGAACUCUGCCACACUGUGAUCCAAACCAGGGCUGCCACCUGCAGGAACAACUCAAAGUCUGUUUAUGUCAUGCUGAAGUUGUUAAAUUGCAAGAUGUUUCCGGGCAUCCAUGCAAAGAAGAGAUUAUGAAAAAUCUUUCAUUGUUUUCUUCUCAGUACACAAUGGUUGCCAAGGUUGACUCCAGUGCUGUAUCAACGUGAUGAUCUUCCUAGUCUAAACCUUUACUUUCUAGAGUUUCAGGGACAACUGUUAGCAUCAUCUGGACUAGAUGCAUCUCAGAAAAACAACAGCAACAACAACAGCAGCAACAGCAACAGCAAAAAGAGAAACAACAGCAACAACAGAACAGCAACAGCAGCAACAACAGUAACGACAGCAACAAUAACAGCCAAAAACCGAAAAUGGCUUGAUUUAGCCCAGCCAAAGCUGGAGAAAAGGAAAUUUUCAGUCUGCCCUGCUGUGCCUACAGCAGUGUUACAACUUACAGAAGAGAGAAACUAAAGCCAGGAAACACGCACAUGUCAUUUAGCUGUGGUCCUGGACACAGGAACAGACAAAGAGGCUUUUUCAUGGUUCUACUCAGCACAGUAUUUCCUACAGGCUUCCUGUGGUGGUUUCAGUGAGACUCAUCCCAAAAGCUUAUGUAUGUGACUGCUUGAUUCCCAGUGGAAUUGCUUGAGAAGGAUUAGAUGUGGCCUUGCUGGAGUAAGUAUGGCCUUGUUGGAGUAAUUGUGUUUUGGGAGUGGGCUUUGGGGUUUCAAAUUCGCUUGCUGGGCCCAGUCUCUCUCUCUCUCUCUCUCUCUCUC